Long non-coding RNA from Ficedula albicollis (Collared flycatcher), 310 nucleotides. RefSeq lists it as uncharacterized. The transcript has 3 exons. The record is from RefSeq and is a predicted model, not a curated record. Lineage: Eukaryota; Metazoa; Chordata; Aves; Passeriformes; Muscicapidae.
UGCAGCUGACACCUGGCAGAUACAGGGUGGGUCUACAAAACCAGGAAUAGGAAUUGUAGUUUGGUUGGCAGAAAAAGACAGGUCAGAAGUGGAGACUGUAAGACAAGGAUAACUGCAGAACAAAGCAAACUUCAGAAGAGAGUUACUGAGAUAUUGAGGAAUCUUCCAACACAAGAAUCAACCUCUAUUCUGUUUAUACCAAAAUCUACCAUGAACUAGUCUUGCACAACUGCAUUUGUAACACUGACAGAAGAUGGAGCUGCUAGAGACAAAGCAAAAUACUGAAGACAAAACAAGAUACUGAAGUACA